RNAcentral lists this ribosomal RNA (639 nucleotides) under Rhodospirillaceae bacterium. Its description in RNAcentral is "bacterial SSU rRNA". It matches the Rfam family "Bacterial small subunit ribosomal RNA", at positions 1 to 802 of the family's 1533-position model. The record is from RNAcentral. Lineage: Bacteria; Pseudomonadati; Pseudomonadota; Alphaproteobacteria; Rhodospirillales; Rhodospirillaceae.
AAAUUGAAGAGUUUGAUCCUGGCUCAGAUUGAACGCUGGCGGCAUGCUUAAUACAUGCAAGUCGAACGGUAACAGGCAUUAGUGAUCCCUUCGGGGUGAUCUUGGCGCUGACGAGUGGCGAACGGGUGAGUAAUGCUUGGGAAUCUGCCCGGUAGUGGGGGACAACCCGAGGAAACUCGGGCUAAUACCGCGUAAGCUCCACGGAGGAAAGCGGGGGAUCUUCGGACCUCGCGCUAUCGGAUGAGCCCAAGUCGGAUUAGCUUGUUGGUGGGGUAAUGGCCUACCAAGGCGACGAUCCGUAGCUGGUCUGAGAGGACGAUCAGCCACACUGGGACUGAGACACGGCCCAGACCGCGGUAAUACGGAGGGUGCGAGCGUUAAUCGGAAUUACUGGGCGUAAAGCGCACGCAGGUGGCUGGGUCAGUCGGUUGUGAAAUCCCCGGGCUUAACCUGGGAAUUGCGAUCGAAACUGCCCGGCUAGAGUAUGGGAGAGGGAAGUGGAAUUCCCGGUGUAGCGGUGAAAUGCAUAGAUAUCGGGAGGAACACCAGUGGCGAAGGCGGCUUCCUGGCCCAAUACUGACACUCAGGUGCGAAAGCGUGGGGAGCAAACAGGAUUAGAUACCCUGGUAGUCCACGCCG